AGCGAGCGCUGGCGGCAGGCUUAACACAUGCAAGUCGAGCGGGCACUUCGGUGUCAGCGGCAGACGGGUGAGUAACACGUGGGAACGUACCCUUUGGUUCGGAAUAACGCUGGGAAACUAGCGCUAAUACCGGAUACGCCCUUUUGGGGAAAGGCUUGCUGCCGAAGGAUCGGCCCGCGUCUGAUUAGCUAGUUGGUGGGGUAAUGGCCUACCAAGGCGACGAUCAGUAGCUGGUCUGAGAGGAUGAUCAGCCACACUGGGACUGAGACACGGCCCAGACUCCUACGGGAGGCAGCAGUGGGGAAUAUUGGACAAUGGGCGCAAGCCUGAUCCAGCCAUGCCGCGUGAGUGAUGAAGGCCUUAGGGUUGUAAAGCUCUUUUGUCCGGGACGAUAAUGACGGUACCGGAAGAAUAAGCCCCGGCUAACUUCGUG
RNAcentral lists this ribosomal RNA (433 nucleotides) under uncultured bacterium. RNAcentral describes it as "partial 16S ribosomal RNA". It matches the Rfam family "Bacterial small subunit ribosomal RNA", at positions 29 to 507 of the family's 1533-position model. The record is from RNAcentral.